This 94-nucleotide non-coding RNA is filed under the name Fructilactobacillus lindneri. RNAcentral's name for it is "Lactobacillus lindneri TPP sequence". It matches the Rfam family "TPP riboswitch aptamer (THI element)". From Rfam's summary of the family: Vitamin B(1) in its active form thiamin pyrophosphate (TPP) is an essential coenzyme that is synthesised by coupling of pyrimidine and thiazole moieties in bacteria. The previously detected thiamin-regulatory element, thi box was extended, resulting in a new, highly conserved RNA secondary structure, the THI element, which is widely distributed in eubacteria and also occurs in some archaea. The record is from RNAcentral. RNAcentral also lists the same sequence under 1 other name. Lineage: Bacteria; Bacillati; Bacillota; Bacilli; Lactobacillales; Lactobacillaceae.
CUAAAUAGUUUGGGGUGCUGAUUUUUCAGCUGAGAUGAUACCCGUUGAACCUGCUCUAGUUAAUACUAGCGAAGGGAAACGUUACAUAUGAUAG